GAUGAACGCUGGCGGCGUGCCUAAUACAUGCAAGUCGAGCGAAUGGAUUAAGAGCUUGCUCUUAUGAAGUUAGCGGCGGACGGGUGAGUAACACGUGGGUAACCUGCCCAUAAGACUGGGAUAACUCCGGGAAACCGGGGCUAAUACCGGAUAACAUUUUGAACCGCAUGGUUCGAAAUGGAAAGGCGGCUUCGGCUGUCAUUUAUGGAUGGACCCGCGUCGCAUUAGCUAGUUGGUGAGGUAACGGCUCACCAAGGCAACGAUGCGUAGCCGACCUGAGAGGGUGAUCGGCCACACUGGGACUGAGACACGGCCCAGACUGCUACGGGAGGCAGCAGUAGGGAAUCUUCCGCAAUGGACGAAAGUCUGACGGAGCAACGCCGCGUGAGUGAUGAAGGCUUUCGGGUCGUAAAACUCUGUUGUUAGGGAAGAACAAGUGCUAGUUGAAUAAGCUGGCACCUUGACGGUACCUAACCAGAAAGCCACGGCUAACUACGUGCCAGCCGCCGCAGUAA
This 515-nucleotide ribosomal RNA is filed under the name uncultured bacterium. Its description in RNAcentral is "partial 16S ribosomal RNA". It matches the Rfam family "Bacterial small subunit ribosomal RNA", at positions 28 to 523 of the family's 1533-position model. The record is from RNAcentral.